RNAcentral lists this ribosomal RNA (475 nucleotides) under uncultured organism. RNAcentral describes it as "partial 16S ribosomal RNA". It matches the Rfam family "Bacterial small subunit ribosomal RNA", at positions 332 to 798 of the family's 1533-position model. The record is from RNAcentral.
UACACUCCUGCGGGAGGCAGCAGUGGGGAAUUUUGGACAAUGGGCGAAAGCCUGAUCCAGCCAUGCCGCGUGCAGGAUGAAGGCCUUCGGGUUGUAAACUGCUUUUGUACGGAACGAAACGGCCUUUUCUAAUAAAGAGGGCUAAUGACGGUACCGUAAGAAUAAGCACCGGCUAACUACGUGCCAGCAGCCGCGGUAAUACGUAGGGUGCAAGCGUUAAUCGGAAUUACUGGGCGUAAAGCGUGCGCAGGCGGUUAUGUAAGACAGUUGUGAAAUCCCCGGGCUCAACCUGGGAACUGCAUCUGUGACUGCAUAGCUAGAGUACGGUAGAGGGGGAUGGAAUUCCGCGUGUAGCAGUGAAAUGCGUAGAUAUGCGGAGGAACACCGAUGGCGAAGGCAAUCCCCUGGACCUGUACUGACGCUCAUGCACGAAAGCGUGGGGAGCAAACAGGAUUAGAAACCCCUGUAGUCCCAU